AAGGCCCCAGGAACACCACACAGCC
This 25-nucleotide non-coding RNA is filed under the name Cricetulus griseus (Chinese hamster). The record is from RNAcentral. Lineage: Eukaryota; Metazoa; Chordata; Mammalia; Rodentia; Cricetidae.